UAGUCCACGCCGUAAACGAUGGUUACUAGUUGUUUGGAUUUCGAUCUAAGUGACUAAGCGAAAGUGAUAAGUAACCCACCUGGGGAGUACGUUGGCAACAAUGAAACUCAAAGGAAUUGACGGGGGCCCGCACAAGCGGUGGAGCAUGUGGUUUAAUUCGAUGAUACGCGAGGAACCUUACCAGGGCUUAAAUGUAGUAUGACAGGUUUAGAGAUAGACUUUUCUUCGGACAUAUUACAAGGUGCUGCAUGGUUGUCGUCAGCUCGUGCCGUGAGGUGUCAGGUUAAGUCCUAUAACGAGCGCAACCCCUGUUGUUAGUUGCCAUCGAGUAAUGUCGGGAACUCUAGCAAGACUGCCGGUGCAAACCGCGAGGAAGGUGGGGAUGACGUCAAAUCAUCACGGCCCUUACGUCCUGGGCCACACACGUGCUACAAUGGUAGGUACAGAGAGCAGCCACAACGCGAGUUGGAGCGAAUCUAUAAAACCUAUCACAGUUCGGAUCGGAGUCUGC
Molecule: ribosomal RNA, 511 nt
Filed under: uncultured bacterium
Lineage: Bacteria
Description: bacterial SSU rRNA
Rfam family: Bacterial small subunit ribosomal RNA
Source: RNAcentral